CCUACGGGAGGCAGCAGUGAGGAAUAUUGGUCAAUGGACGAGAGUCUGAACCAGCCAAGUAGCGUGAAGGAUGACUGCCCUAUGGGUUGUAAACUUCUUUUAUAUGGGAAUAAAAUGUUCCACGUGUGGGAUUUUGUAUGUACCAUAUGAAGAAGGAUCGGCUAACUCCGUGCCAGCAGCCGCGGUAAUACGGAGGAUCCGAGCGUUAUCCGGCUUUAUUGGGUUUAACGGGAGCGUAGGUGGAUGGGUAAGUCAGUUGUGAAAGUUUGCGGCUCAACCGUAAAAUUGCAGUUGAAACUGGAAGUCUUGAGUACAGGAGAGGUGGGCGGAAGUCGUGGUGUAGCGGUGAAAUGCUUAGAUAUCACGAAGAACUCCGAUUGCGAAGGCAGCUCACUGGACUGCAACUGACACUGAGGCUCGAAAGUGUGGGUAUCAAACAGGAUUAGAUACCCUUGUAGUC
This 460-nucleotide ribosomal RNA is filed under the name uncultured bacterium. Its description in RNAcentral is "partial 16S ribosomal RNA". It matches the Rfam family "Bacterial small subunit ribosomal RNA", at positions 338 to 795 of the family's 1533-position model. The record is from RNAcentral.